This 1163-nucleotide unclassified non-coding RNA is filed under the name uncultured fungus. RNAcentral's name for it is "sequence contains 18S rRNA gene, ITS1, 5.8S rRNA gene, ITS2, 28S rRNA gene". The stretch from base 323 to 1163 matches the Rfam family "Eukaryotic large subunit ribosomal RNA", at positions 1 to 961 of the family's 3401-position model. Lineage: Eukaryota; Fungi. The record is from RNAcentral.
GGAAGGAUCAUUAUUGAACUGUAAAGUCUUUUAUGUGUGUUUCUGAUGGGUUUUUCUUUUUUAUUUGUACUGUAUUGAAAUUAAUCAUGAGUCCAAGCAAUGGAUAUCUUGGUUCCCACAACGAUGAAGAACGCAGCGAAAUGCGAUACGUAAUGUGAAUUGCAGGGUUAAGUGAAUCAUCAAAUGUUUGAACGCAAGUUGCGCCUUUUGCGAGGCAUGCUUCUUUGAGUGUCUUUUUCCUUGUUGGUCGAUUCUGGUUCGAAUUGCCCUUGUAUGUACAUGCUGUGUCGAUUGAAUGAUCGGACAUAACACACUAUAACAAUGACCUCAAAUGAAGUAGGAGUACCCGCUGAAUUUAAGCAUAUAAUUAAGCGGAGGAAAAGAAACUAACUAGGAUUCCCUCAGUAACGGCGAGUGAAGCGGGAAGAGUUCAAACCUGGAAUCGCCUCACGGCGAAUUGUGGUGUGUAGACGCGUGUCUCAGCGUUUGUGCCGGUGUAAGUCGGUUGGAAAAUCGCAUCAGAGAGGGUGAAAAUCCCGUUCGACACUGGGAUCACAAACGUGUUCGAGCCGUUGUUUAUGAGUCGGGUUGCUUGGGAGUGCAGCCCUAAGUGGGUGGUAAAUUCCAUCUAAAACUAAAUAUGUGUGGGAGACCGAUAGCGAACAAGUACCGUGAGGGAAAGAUGAAAAGAACUUUGAAAAGAGAGUUAAAAAGUACUUGAAAUUGUUUGGAUUGAAGGGAUGACGACCAGUGGUCAGCAUGGCUUGCUGUUGUGUUUGGUGUCUACAGGGGUAGGUGGCUCUUGGGAGUGUUUUAGCCCUGUUUUCACAAUUCGACGGUGAGCGAGGUCAUGGAUAGAUGCUGACGAAAUGGUCGUCAUUCACCCGUCUUGAAACACGGACCAAGGAGUCUUACAUGUGUGCGAGUGUUAGCGCAUUGAAGCGUUAUCGCGUAAUGAAAGUGAAUUUGUUCAAGCGAGGGCGGCUACGGCACGACCCUGAGCAUACAUGCAGGGACCCGAAAGAUGGUGAACUAUGCCUGGGCAGGAUGAAGCCAGGGGAAACUCUGGUGGAGGUCCGAAGCGAUACUGACGUGCAAAUCGUUCGUGUGAGCUGGGUAUAGGGGCGAAAGACUAAUCGAACCGUCUGGUAGCUGGUUCCCUC